GGGGCUGUAGCUCAGUGGCAAAGCGCUUGCCUAGCAUGCAUGAGGCACUGAGUUCGAUCCUCAGCUCCA
Molecule: transfer RNA, 69 nt
Filed under: Marmota marmota marmota (Alpine marmot)
Lineage: Eukaryota; Metazoa; Chordata; Mammalia; Rodentia; Sciuridae
Also listed under: 1 other name
Rfam family: tRNA
About the family: Transfer RNA (tRNA) molecules are approximately 80 nucleotides in length. Their secondary structure includes four short double-helical elements and three loops (D, anti-codon, and T loops).
Source: Rfam by way of RNAcentral